This 73-nucleotide transfer RNA is filed under the name Ursus americanus (American black bear). It matches the Rfam family "tRNA". From Rfam's summary of the family: Transfer RNA (tRNA) molecules are approximately 80 nucleotides in length. Their secondary structure includes four short double-helical elements and three loops (D, anti-codon, and T loops). RNAcentral also lists the same sequence under 2 other names. Lineage: Eukaryota; Metazoa; Chordata; Mammalia; Carnivora; Ursidae. The record is from Rfam by way of RNAcentral.
ACCUGGCUGGCUCAGUUGAUAGAGCAUGAAACUCUUAAUUUCAAGGUCAUGAAUACAAGCCCCACGUUGGGCA